AAAUUGAAGAGUUUGAUCAUGGCUCAGAUUGAACGCUGGCGGCAGGCCUAACACAUGCAAGUCGAACGGUAACAGGAAGCAGCUUGCUGCUUCGCUGACGAGUGGCGGACGGGUGAGUAAUGUCUGGGAAACUGCCUGAUGGAGGGGGAUAACUACUGGAAACGGUAGCUAAUACCGCAUAACGUCGCAAGACCAAAGAGGGGGACCUUCGGGCCUCUUGCCAUCGGAUGUGCCCAGAUGGGAUUAGCUUGUUGGUGGGGUAACGGCUCACCAAGGCGACGAUCCCUAGCUGGUCUGAGAGGAUGACCAGCCACACUGGAACUGAGACACGGUCCAGACUCCUACGGGAGGCAGCAGUGGGGAAUAUUGCACAAUGGGCGCAAGCCUGAUGCAGCCAUGCCGCGUGUAUGAAGAAGGCCUUCGGGUUGUAAAGUACUUUCAGCGGGGAGGAAGGGAGUAAAGUU
RNAcentral lists this ribosomal RNA (464 nucleotides) under Escherichia coli. Its description in RNAcentral is "bacterial SSU rRNA". It matches the Rfam family "Bacterial small subunit ribosomal RNA", at positions 1 to 461 of the family's 1533-position model. Lineage: Bacteria; Pseudomonadati; Pseudomonadota; Gammaproteobacteria; Enterobacterales; Enterobacteriaceae. The record is from RNAcentral.